RNAcentral lists this unclassified non-coding RNA (256 nucleotides) under Hevea brasiliensis (rubber tree). The record is from RNAcentral. Lineage: Eukaryota; Viridiplantae; Streptophyta; Magnoliopsida; Malpighiales; Euphorbiaceae.
GCCAUAUAUAAAAAACGACAAGAUUGUCAUCAAGGACUUCGUGAAGCAGACAAUCGCAACAGUCGGAGAGAACAUAAACGUGAAACGAUUCAUUCGCUAUAAUCUCGGUGAGGGAUUGGAAAAGAAGAGCCAGGACUUCGCAGCCGAGGUGGCCGCCCAAACCGCAGCAAAACCGUCAUCCGCAGCAGCACCAUCCGCAGCAGCACCGAAGGUGCAACCUGCUGAAGUCAAAGUCGAAAAAGCGCAAACUGUCACA